CCUACGGGGAGCUGCAGUGGGGAAUAUUGGACAAUGGGGGGAACCCUGAUCCAGCGACGCCGCGUGAGUGAAGAAGUAUUUCGGUAUGUACAGCUCUAUCAGCAGGGAAGAAAGAAAUGACGGUACCUGACUAAGAAGCCCCGGCUAACUACGGGCCAGCAGCCGCGGUAAUACGUAGGGGGCAAGCGUUAUCCGGAGUUACUGGGUGUAAGGGGAGCGUAGACGGCGAUGCAAGUCUGAAGUGAAAGGCGGGGGCCCAACCCCCGGACUGCUUUGGAAACUGUAUGGCUGGAGUGCAGGAGAGGUAAGUGGAAUUCCUAGUGUAGCGGUGAAAUGCGUAGAUAUUAGGAGGAACACCAGUGGCGAAUGCGGCUUACUGGACUGUAACUGACGUUGAGGCUCGAAAGCGUGGGGAGCAAACAGGAUUAGAUACCCUGGUAGUC
Molecule: ribosomal RNA, 443 nt
Filed under: uncultured bacterium
Lineage: Bacteria
Description: partial 16S ribosomal RNA
Rfam family: Bacterial small subunit ribosomal RNA
Source: RNAcentral